GAGCGGCGGACGGGUGAGUAAUGUCUGGGAAACUGCCUGAUGGAGGGGGAUAACUACUGGAAACGGUAGCUAAUACCGCAUAACGUCGCAAGACCAAAGUGGGGGACCUUCGGGCCUCAUGCCAUCAGAUGUGCCCAGAUGGGAUUAGCUAGUAGGUGGGGUAACGGCUCACCUAGGCGACGAUCCCUAGCUGGUCUGAGAGGAUGACCAGCCACACUGGAACUGAGACACGGUCCAGACUCCUACGGGAGGCAGCAGUGGGGAAUAUUGCACAAUGGGCGCAAGCCUGAUGCAGCCAUGCCGCGUGUAUGAAGAAGGCCUUCGGGUUGUAAAGUACUUUCAGCGGGGAGGAAGGCGAUAAGGUUAAUAACCUUGUCGAUUGACGUUACCCGCAGAAGAAGCACCGGCUAACUCCGUGCCAGCAGCCGCGGUAAUACGGAGGGUGCAAGCGUUAAUCGGAAUUACUGGGCGUAAAGCGCACGCAGGCGGUCUGUCAAGUCGGAUGUGAAAUCCCCGGGCUCAACCUGGGAACUGCAUUCGAAACUGGCAGGCUAGAGUCUUGUAGAGGGGGGUAGAAUUCCAGGUGUAGCGGUGAAAUGCGUAGAGAUCUGGAGGAAUACCGGUGGCGAAGGCGGCCCCCUGGACAAAGACUGACGCUCAGGUGCGAAAGCGUGGGGAGCAAACAGGAUUAGAU
RNAcentral lists this ribosomal RNA (694 nucleotides) under Klebsiella pneumoniae. Its description in RNAcentral is "bacterial SSU rRNA". It matches the Rfam family "Bacterial small subunit ribosomal RNA", at positions 93 to 783 of the family's 1533-position model. Lineage: Bacteria; Pseudomonadati; Pseudomonadota; Gammaproteobacteria; Enterobacterales; Enterobacteriaceae. The record is from RNAcentral.